UAGGGAAUCUUCCACAAUGGACGAAAGUCUGACGGAGCAACGCCGCGUGAGUGAAGAAGGGUUUCGGCUCGUAAAACUCUGUUGUUAAAGAAGAACAUAUCUGAGAGUAACUGUUCAGGUAUUGACGGUAUUUAACCAGAAAGCCACGGCUAACUACGUGCCAC
RNAcentral lists this ribosomal RNA (164 nucleotides) under uncultured bacterium. Its description in RNAcentral is "partial 16S rRNA". It matches the Rfam family "Bacterial small subunit ribosomal RNA", at positions 355 to 511 of the family's 1533-position model. The record is from RNAcentral.